This 492-nucleotide ribosomal RNA is filed under the name uncultured bacterium. RNAcentral's name for it is "partial 16S ribosomal RNA". It matches the Rfam family "Bacterial small subunit ribosomal RNA", at positions 29 to 507 of the family's 1533-position model. The record is from RNAcentral.
AGUGAACGCUGGCGGUAGGCCUAACACAUGCAAGUCGAACGGCAGCACAGUAAGAGCUUGCUCUUACGGGUGGCGAGUGGCGGACGGGUGAGGAAUACAUCGGAAUCUACUUUUUCGUGGGGGAUAACGUAGGGAAACUUACGCUAAUACCGCAUACGACCUACGGGUGAAAGUAGGGGAUCUUCGGACCUUGCGCGAUUGAAUGAGCCGAUGUCGGAUUAGCUAGUUGGCGGGGUAAAGGCCCACCAAGGCGACGAUCCGUAGCUGGUCUGAGAGGAUGAUCAGCCACACUGGAACUGAGACACGGUCCAGACUCCUACGGGAGGCAGCAGUGGGGAAUAUUGGACAAUGGGCGCAAGCCUGAUCCAGCCAUACCGCGUGGGUGAAGAAGGCCUUCGGGUUGUAAAGCCCUUUUGUUGGGAAAGAAAAGCGGCAGGUUAAUACCCCGCUGUUCUGACGGUACCCAAAGAAUAAGCACCGGCUAACUUCGUG